This 28-nucleotide non-coding RNA is filed under the name Mus musculus (house mouse). Lineage: Eukaryota; Metazoa; Chordata; Mammalia; Rodentia; Muridae. The record is from RNAcentral.
UGGUGCACUGGAUGGAAUGUCUUACUCU